AUGCUGCUGCCCAUCGAUCAUGUACUGCACCAAUAUUUCAUGCUUUGUUGAAGACUACACCGUCGUGUUGAUGUUGCUUCUCUCUUUCUCUCUCUCUCUCUCUCUCUCUAGAAGGGUGUAUUGAUGGAAAUGUUCGGUGAUUCUAGUAAUUGUUUUGUGAUGUGUUAUCGGUUCACAAAGGAAGUUCUCCCAGGAAAAUAAAAAUGAUUCUGCUAAAUGAGUUGAGUGCAUCUGAUCAUACAUACAUGGAAGAGUUGAGUGCACGCAUCUAAUUCCAAAUACAAGUUCCUCGAGACAGUCGCUUGAAAGCAAAGGCUAUCAAAAGCUAUCAAUUUAUGUACGUUUUAGUAAUACCACAUUGCACUGCAUGCAAUAUAAUUUUCAAUAAAACAUUAUAUAUAUACAUAAAAUUUAAUAAAAAGCUUGAUGAAACAUGAACAACAUGAUCUUCUAAUUCAAUUAUCUUCUCCCUUCAAAUUUAAAACCUAGCAUUCGCAAUAAAUAGUAUGAUGAAGCAUGAACAACAUGAUCUUCUUCCUUUAAAAAAACCUAGAAUUGUCUAUAUGUCUUCGAAAUAAAUAGUAUCUUUUGCCUAUCACCUUGGUUCAUUUAUACCAAACACUCGUUGAUAGACUUUAUUAUACCUUGAUAUUUUAUCAUUUUUUAUUAUUAAAUAUUUAGAAAAUAAUAAAUAAGUAUAUAUUUUUUAUUCUUCAUUUUUUUUAUUUAUUUACCACUUGUUUUUAUUGAACUUUUUCUCUUGUUCUUAAUCCACAUGUAUGAAACAUAAAGGUAAAUUGUUUCACAAAUAUGAUUAAUUGCAUGUAUAAAGUGUGCAAUCUUAGAUUUUGAUAAUGAAACUAAUUGAUAAAGUUAUGAUAUAAUCAGCAUUUUGAGUGACAUAGGACUAACCUCGAUCAAAGAAAGUUAAAUUGAUUGACACAAGAAGAAUCAAACAUUGGGUUAGAGUGAAAUAUGUCAGGAGAUUGGACGUCGAGCUGGAAGAUCGAUCGACGUACCGGUAAAAGGACUUUGUGUCAUGAGUUCGGGCUUCGGGCCGAAUGAUCAAACAUUGUGCCAAGGGGAUCGGAAGUUGCAUGGGCCAAUAUACCAAUUAAGCAAUAUGCCAAAAGAGAGGAGGAUGCACUGAAGGAUCAAACGAAGCAUCGGAUGAACCAAUGACAUACCGGACUACAUAGGAUUCGCGUUUGUAAUCAAUUGUGCCUAGAUUGAGUUAGUUUAGGUCUAAUUGAGUUGGUAUUGGGAUGAAACAAUUUCAACUCAGUUAUGGGCCCAUUGGGCCUAAGUUGAGGUUGUUUUGGGCCAAGUGAGGCCCAUGUAGCAACCCUUAGCAAGCCCAAGUGGUGGCACCGUUUAGGACUCGGCCUCUCAAGUUGUCUCGACGGUGGUACUACCCAAAUAGUCUUUAAGACUGUGUCGAUGGUACCGUCAGACUCGGUGUUGAUACCACCUAAUAUCAGUGUCAGACUGAGUGGUGAUAAUGCCCAGUGUCAGACUAACAAGUGGUGGUAUCGCUAGUUAUCAAUCUGUCAAGAGGUGGUACCGCCCAAUAAUGAUGGUGGUAUCGUUAGAACCUGAGAAACCCGGGAUGAUACCUUUUUUUUUUUUUUUUUGAAACCAUUUGGGGUCUAUAAAUACCCCAGCUAGUCUUGCAUGAAUAAGUAAGAAAACAAAACAUUGUUAUUCUGAGUUGAAAAAGUACUAAAUUGUCCUCCUCAUUAAGUUUCAAGUUUAGUAUAAGAGAUGUGUGAGGCUUAUAAAUGUUGUCUCCUAAACUUGUGAAAAGGAGAAAGAGUUGUAAGAGGAUAGUUGGUUUUCGACCAUUAAAAGAAAACCGUUAGCGAAUGUCGAUUGCCUCAACAAAGGAGAAAUUAGGAGUGAACGUAGGUCACAACGAUCGAACUACUAUAAAUCUAGUUUGUGUUGACUCUAAGUCAAUUAUACUUUUAUUAUCAUUUUCAUCAAAUUAAGAUUUUUUUAAAAUUGAUAUUUUUAUUAAAAGUAUUAAUUUAUCCCCUCUUAGUGUCUGACUUAAUCAUAACAUAAAUAAAGAGGGUGCUGAAUUUGUUUAAUUGUUAUAAAGUAUGUUUUGAAGUAAUUUUUUUGAGGAAAAAAAGAUACAUUGGUACCCUCAAUUUUAUUUUUCCCCAUCAAUGCCUCAUCAUUCCGUGUGUUUCCAAAAUGCCCAUGAUAAGAUAAAGUGAACUAGUUUACUGCAAUACAACUUAUAUUAUUUUUGAAUCGUAUGACAAUAUUUUUUGGUACCUCCAUCAAAACACCAUAACCUUAUUUAAAAUAUUUAAUGGUAUAAAAAUUAUUUUUUUUAAUGUCAUUAUUUGUAAAAAUACCUGAAACUUCACCAAGGUUGGUAAGGUAGUUUGUGUUGGAACCUUUUUGGCAAAGAUAUGCCACGUAGACUGAUACAUACUAUGCAUCUAUCUAAUCCGAGAAAUUAUUUUAGUAUCUUAUCAAGAGAAUUUUGAAAAAAGAAAAUCAUAAAAGCCCAAAAAGACAUACCUUUCCCAUGAAAUUGAUUCCAUUAUAAAUAAAUACUAUGGUUGUAAGGAAUAGUAAGAGUGAAGGUAUGAGAAGUUCGAGCACUGAGAAAUUUUAUGAGUUAUACCUUCUAUAAGAAUAUAUUAUUAUAAGGCAAUGAGACUAGGCAAUAAUGUUUUUAUGUAAUUUACAAGCACAUUGACUAACAUUUUAUAAGUGACAUUGCAUAAAAUCUUUUCUCCUACACAUAAUAAUCAACUUAUUAUAAUAUUUUCACAUUACGAUAACCUUCAUUUAUUUACUUAGUUUUGAUGGUGAUCUACUAUUUAAUAUUAAUCGGCCAAAAAAGACUUGAAAUUUGUUGUAAAAUUAAGAAAGUUAUAUUUCUUCCUUGAUCUGAUAAGGUUGUCUAAUAUAUUGAUGAUCUAGUAUCAUGUCGUGUCAUGUUAGAUACUUUGUUAGUAUGAUACGUUAAUCGAUCAUCAUGGUACCAUCUCGAGUAUCCUCUGAUAUACGAAUUGUACUCUCUAACUUAUUAACUCAAGUCACAAUGAUGAUAAUCAUAAUGUCUAGCGGUUCAUCGGACCUUCCCACAUUUUAAAUUAUUACAAAAAAAACCCCACUUUAAAAGUUUGAAGUGUCAUUCUCAAUGUAAUUUUAACAGACACACUCAUUCUAUUGACAUACAUUUCAGAGAUUUUAAUUUAGUUUUGUUAGAGAACUUGUUGAGCCAAUUUUAUAUUAACCCUUUGGUUUGCUAUAGGUUCAAACAUUGGACUGGGAUUAAUUUUGAACUAUCUGCCAUAUCAGACAAUUAUAAUAUAUCAUAACAAUUCCAAACUUCCUUAAUUAGAGAUACAAUCAAAUUUCCCCAUUAGACACCAAGGGACAUCCUAAAAGCUCACAGAAGAAGGUGAAUAAUGGCAAGUAGAAGAUCUCAUAGAUCCAAAAUUUGAUGGAUAGUAUUGGAUAGUUGAAUAUAUUUCCUCAUGUAACACCUUGGUUUACUCCCAUGUUAAAAGUGGAUAAAAAGCAUAGACCCAAGCAUUUUGGCCAAAUAGUUUAAUUAGUUAAUUAUCUUAUCAAAUUGGGUUAUGAUAAUUAGUAUCAGAGUGGACCAAUGCAACAAAUGGAAUUAAAAAUAAGUAAUAAUUAAUUUACAAUUAUUUUUUUCAAGUGAAAAUGUAAUCAUAUUUUUGGUGAAAACUUUAACCUAUAUGCAGCAAGAUUUAAAUACUCAAAAACACUUUUAGCUUGUAAAGCAAAUAUGAAGACUUCACCCUAACCGUCACUAGUUUAAUUUAGCAUUUUCAUUCCAAGCAAGAUUGUCUUAGUUAUGCCAUUGUAGAAAAUGCCUUAUAAUCUUCUUGUAACAAGAAGCGAAUUUAUUAGUAUAAUAAAUAACAUAUAACUAAUAAGGAUUAUCCUACCGGGAACAACUAGCCAAUUCCUAAUAUGUUUGUUGAUGAAUUAGUGCUUAUAUAAAAUCACGUCGGUUUAAAAAUUUCGUUCAAUGAAAUUAAGAUAUUAAAAAUCAAUUUGAAAAUAAAAAGCUUAAAAUAAAUAUAAAUUAGAUUUAUAGUGAUUCGAUCAUCGUGACCUACCUCCGCUCUCGAUUCAUCUUCACUCGAGGCCACCGGCUUCCACUACCGAUCUUCUUUCAACGGACGAAGAUCAACUACCCUUACAACUCCUUCUCCUUUUUACUGGUUUAGGAAAGAACUUUUACACAUCUCUCUUUUAGACUUCACUCCUCCCUUAGGAACCUUCUAACUCUAGGAGGAAGAUACUCACUAACUUUAGAGAGAUUAUAACACUUUUUUUCUCAAGUAUAUUUUCCCUCUUUUUCAACUCAAAUUCAUUAUUACUCCAAGAAAGAAUAGUUGAGGUAUUUAUAGACUCUAAAUGACUUAAAAAAUGGAGUCAAAAAAUAUCUUAUCCCAGGUUUCCCGAGUUCUGAUAGUACCAUCGCCUAUAGCAUUGUAUGGUACUACUGCCUGACAUAGUCUGAGAGACUGUAUUUGGGCGGUAUCAUCGCCUAGUCUAUCGAUACUACAACCCGACAACUAGAAAAAGUGUGCUCUUAACUUUUCUAACUCAUAGGUAGUUCCACAUAAUCUUGGAUGACCGAAUGAGCCUUCCACUUUGGCCCAAAACAAUCUCAACUCAGAACCAAUGAGUCCCUAACUGAGUUGGCAUGGUUACACCCCAAAAUCGACUCAAUUAGACUCUAAACUAAUUUAAUCUAGACAUAAUUGAUUACAAGCAUGAAUCCUAUAUUGUUCGGCAUGUCAUUAGUUCAUCCGACGCUUCAUCCGAUCCUUCGACGUAUUAUCCAAUUGCCAUGUUGACCCUCGCAACUUCCGAUCUCCUUGGCGCAAUGUUCGAUCCUUCGGCCCGAUGCCCAAACUCACAACACGAAGUCCUUCUGUCAACACUUCGAUCGAUCCUCCGAUCGACGUCCAAUCUUCUGACAUGUUCACUCCGACCCAACAUUCGAUUCUUCCUACUUUAAUCGAUUUAUGUUUUCUAAUCAAAGAUAGUCUUGUGUCACUUCAAAUAUAUAUUAGAUCGUAAAUUCAUCAAUUGAUUUCAUCAUCAAAAUUUAAGAGUCAACACUCAUCGUAUUUAAAAGACUUUAAGAAGUAUGUCAUGAGAUUCGUUAGCAUGAAACAACCAUGGAUCCUCCUAUUCUCAUAAACUUUUAAAAAUUUUAUUUUAUAUCAGAAUUUAACAAAACGUAAGGAUAAAAGAUCUCCCUAUCUAAUCCAUUCACUAUUUUUUUUUCAUAAAAAUCAAGGUUCCACAUUAAUAAAACAAACCAUAACAAUAAAGUAUGUUAUAAGCCUUUUCCAAACGUUAAUAUAAGGGUUUUUUAUAUUUAGAAUCAAAUAAAGACUCAGAAAUCUCCUCAAUUAGAGGAUAUUGUCCUUAAUACUAUUACCUUUUAUAAGAAUAUAUUAUUCUAAGGUAAUGAGACUUGCCAACAAUUUUUUUAUAUAAUUUACAAGCACCUUGACUAACAUUUAAUAAUUAAGAUUACAUAAUUUUUUUCCACGUACACAUAAUAAUCAACUUAUUAUACUAUUUCACGUUUUAAACUAUCGUCUUGCUUUAUUCAUUUAGUUUUGACGGUCAUCCCUCGUUUUAAACUUAUUAGGUGUCUUUCUCGAGCUAAUUUCAACGUACAAUAAUCGUUUUACUUUUUAAAAUUUUAGAUUUAUCUAUCGAUUUAAGCAUCAGAAUAAUCUUUAAGUUUUUGCUGGAGACUUUAUCGAACCACUUCAUUCUUGACAUUAGAGUUCUCUAUCAGUUCAAAAAUCGAAAUCUGAUUAAUUUCGAGCUGUCUAACAUAUCACACAAUCAUAAUGUAUUACUUCCUAAAUUAGAAAAAGUGUAAACAGAAUAAAGUUAAAAUUCACCAUUAGACACCAAAGCACAUCUUAAAUGCUAAUAGAAGAAGGUGAAGAAUUCUUCUUCUUUAAUUGGGCAGGAAAAGUAGUAUUUAUUCUUACCAUUUCAUUUCCUAGCGCAUCACGGAAGCCACACCACCAGAAAAGGAAAAGAGCCAAAGCGUUUCCAUCACCAAAGCACACAAAUUAAGCGCGGUUCCAUAGGUUCUCAAGCAUGAAGCUUUCUUCUCCCACCAUCGUAUUUCUUGUCCUCGGGCUUCUCUUCGCUUCCAUGACCACCACGACCUCCCGGGAGACGCCCACCCAUGGCGUGCGAGAGAAAGGUUGGUAUCUUUCUCAUUCUGCAACAUGCAUUGCGUAUCAUGGUUCAUCAUAUUCAUGGCGAUAUCCUCCACGUAUUCGAUGGAAGUCCUCCUCAAAAUGUUGAUGUUGCCCAUGUGUUCAGGUCGAGAUGGGGCUACGGUGCAACCCGAAGGUGUCAUCUACGGCCUUGCAAGGGUGUCUCCUUUUACACCGCCGGCGCCAGACGCCAACCAUCACCCUGACCCUCCCUUCAACAAUCCCUGAAGCCAUGCUGCUGCCCAUCGAUCAUGUACUGCACCAAUAUUUCAUGCUUUGUUGAAGACUACACCGUCGUGUUGAUGUUGCUUCUAUCUCUCUAAAAGGGUGUAUCGAUUGUAGUGUUUCAUGUUCGGUGAUUCUAAUAAAUGUUUCCUGAUGUGUUAUCAGUUCACAAAGGAUGUUCUCCUAGGAAAAUAAAAAUGAUUCUGCUAAAUGAGUUGAGCGCA
RNAcentral lists this long non-coding RNA (6718 nucleotides) under Musa acuminata (dwarf banana). RNAcentral's name for it is "long non-coding RNA (MACU_LNC001738)". Lineage: Eukaryota; Viridiplantae; Streptophyta; Magnoliopsida; Zingiberales; Musaceae. The record is from RNAcentral.